This 279-nucleotide ribosomal RNA is filed under the name uncultured Staphylococcus sp. Its description in RNAcentral is "partial 16S ribosomal RNA". It matches the Rfam family "Bacterial small subunit ribosomal RNA", at positions 83 to 356 of the family's 1533-position model. Lineage: Bacteria; Bacillati; Bacillota; Bacilli; Caryophanales; Staphylococcaceae. The record is from RNAcentral.
CCUUUGACGUUAGCGGCGGACGGGUGAGUAACACGUGGGUAACCUACCUAUAAGACUGGGAUAACUUCGGGAAACCGGAGCUAAUGCCGGAUAAUAUUUCGAACCGCAUGGUUCGAUAGUGAAAGGUGGUUUUGCUAUCACUUAUAGAUGGACCCGCGCCGUAUUAGCUAGUUGGUAAGGUAACGGCUUACCAAGGCGACGAUACGUAGCCGACCUGAGAGGGUGAUCGGCCACACUGGAACUGAGACACGGUCCAGACUCCUACGGGAGGCAGCAGUG